GAAAGGCUUACUAACACUCACUAUUAUAUUGAAAAAACUCGUUACUGGGCAGUCAUUUAAGAUCAGCUGUUAAACUACCAAUCAUGAGAUGUGCAAUCAUACAUACUAUAUAUAAGCAUCGCUUAGCAUAUCUACACCAAACUUUGUUAAGUGAUUGCAUGAGAAUGCAGUGAAUGGUCCGUUAUACGAGUAGAGUAGAAGAACAUUGGAAGAAUUGAUAAAAUAAAAGUAUCAUAGGAACGGGAUUCGUAGUCCAAGCGAUAAUCGUAUAAAAGGGGAUAAAAAAAUUUUAGCAUGGAUCACCAAAAUAAAUGGAAGAUUUGGGACGUAAACUUUCAAAAUAUGUAUCAGUAAAUUAAACGACUCUGUCGUCCUCUUCAUGCGUUCAUAGUCUCUCGCAAAAGUCCAUGUAGAUAGAUUAUCGGAGUCAACAUGCGAUGAUGAAAAGUUGAAUUAGGCAAAAGAGAGGCUAAAAAGAGAGAAAGAAAGAGAUGCAAUCAAUCUAAAUUGCGCUAAAAUGAGCAUAAAAAGGAAUUAAUAAAGAACUUCCAAUGAAGACAAAAAUGGAAGGAAAAUGUCCAAUGAAGAUUUUCAAGUAAAUGUUUCAUAAAGACGGAGAUUCGGAGGGUGAUGGGAUAUUCAUGUUUUCAUCAGGUUGAGCAAAAGAAGCUGACCACCAUCUCAGCGAUGAAGGAUCAGGCAUUAUAACAUCAUCAUAAGGUACAUAGUUAGGAUUCUUGAAUUCAUCCUUCCGAGAAAGGAAAUAGUCCCAGAUACAACGAGUAUGAGUGCUGACGGAUGCUUGAGCUCGUUCCCGUUCAGAGUUGUAUAGGAACGAACCGUAUUGGCAAGAGUAAAGAUGGUAAAGUAGACGGCGUAAAAAUCUCUCGUUAAACUCGAAACAAUUAGGAAAUUGAUCCAUAAUUUGCCAGACGCAAUCUAAAAACUGAUGAAAGACCGGAGACAUCAUUUUUUCGGAAUGGUCAAUUGAGAAGCCACUUAAAGCAGAGCGUACUGUUGAAAAAGUGUAUUGUAAAGUCGAACUUGGUGAAGAUUGGGGUGGUUCUUCUGAGUAUGAGCUGUCGAUUGUAAAAAUACGUUUACCAGGUAAAUGACAACAUCUUUCUGCAAACCUAUGCCCGAAGGAAAGCCAAUCCUUUUCGACGAGAGCAAAAAAUCCCUCAAUUGUUCUAUAGUAAGGAUCCAAACACAAUUGAGGUAGAGCACAUAACUGGGAAGUUCUGUCCCAUCCAUCUGAGCAAUGUACAAGUACAUGGGCAUGCCUAAAAUGAACUGUUUUAACAAUAAGAACCGCUCCUUGUAAAAUGUUAGCCAAGUGCUUAAGCCAACUUGAUCUGUUUAAGAGUUCUAUCAAUGGAGGUGCCGCACUAAUAUCUGUAUUUUUAAGAGCAUUCACAAUUUUAUUUAAAGAAUCCCUCAUGACGUGUAUGUUAUCAAUUCCAAGAUAUAUCUUCUUUGCAAAACGGUAGUGAUCCAUGUUUUCGCUUCCAGCGCCUACGGCAAUGUUAGCCAUCGCAUUAGUAGAAGGCCUCGCAUCAACUAUAAGAUUUUCUUUUCCAGGAAUGAUU
RNAcentral lists this long non-coding RNA (1589 nucleotides) under Schizosaccharomyces pombe (fission yeast). The record is from RNAcentral. Lineage: Eukaryota; Fungi; Ascomycota; Schizosaccharomycetes; Schizosaccharomycetales; Schizosaccharomycetaceae.